RNAcentral lists this ribosomal RNA (484 nucleotides) under uncultured bacterium. RNAcentral describes it as "partial 16S ribosomal RNA". It matches the Rfam family "Bacterial small subunit ribosomal RNA", at positions 30 to 507 of the family's 1533-position model. The record is from RNAcentral.
AUUGAACGCUGGCGGCAUGCCUUACACAUGCAAGUCGAACGGCAGCUCGUGAUCAAUCCUGGCGGCGAGUGGCUAACGGGUGAGUAAUACACCUGAAGGUGCGCACUAGUGGGGGAUAAGGCAGCUAAAGCUGUGCUAAUACCGCAUACGAACUACGGAUGAACGCAGGGGGUGGCAAGACCUUGCUCGAAUGGAGGGGGCGCUGCCAGAUUAGGUAGUUGGUGAGGUACAGGCGGACCAAGCCGUGGAUCUGUAGCUGGUCUGAGGGGACAACCGGCGACGCUGGGACUGAGACACGGCCCAGACUCCUACGGGAGGCAGCAGUGGGGAACUUUGGACAAUGGGCGAAAGACUGAUCCAGCAAUGGCGCGUGGAGGAUGAAGGCCUUGGGGUUGUAAAAUGCUUUUGUACGGAACGAAACGGUCUUUUCUACUAAAGAAGGCUAAUGACGGUACCGUAAGAAUAAGCACCGGCUAACUACGUG